RNAcentral lists this long non-coding RNA (351 nucleotides) under Elaeis guineensis (African oil palm). Its description in RNAcentral is "long non-coding RNA (EGUI_LNC059516)". The record is from RNAcentral. Lineage: Eukaryota; Viridiplantae; Streptophyta; Magnoliopsida; Arecales; Arecaceae.
UCCCCUCUCUCCUCUCCUCUCUCCCUCUCCCCUUUCCCUCUCUGUGCUCUCCCCCCCUCUCUUCCCAUCGGUGAGCCCGUCUCCACCAUCGUCAUAGCCGUCCGCCAUCUGCACCAUUGUCGCACCAUUGUUGCUGUUGCCGUCCACCAGAGGUAAGGUAUUCCAACCCAUUUAAUGUUCUAAGUAAUUUUUUCAUGUUGAUGUAAAAUUAAAAAUCAUGACUUGUUGCAGUAAGCAUAAGAAUAUACUAUGCAUAGAGAAUAAUACGGAUGCUGAUGAUCGAUAUAGGAGAAAAUUUAUAAAAUAAUUUGGUGAUCUUAUAAGUUACACUACUAAUAUGUUAUUUUUAAU